This 894-nucleotide ribosomal RNA is filed under the name Triticum aestivum (bread wheat). RNAcentral's name for it is "partial small subunit ribosomal RNA". The record is from RNAcentral. Lineage: Eukaryota; Viridiplantae; Streptophyta; Magnoliopsida; Poales; Poaceae.
AUGGGGUAUGUGGCAGUGGCGACGGAUGAGGGGGCGGCGGUGCUGGGGAGGCGCGACAUUCUCGUGGCGUGGCGUGGCACCGUGACGAAACUGGAGUAUUUGAACGACGGAGACUGGCUGCACGCGCCCGCCACGAAGGUGCUCGGCCACUCCAUGGCGGCCGCCUACAAGGAUGCCAGGGUGCACCAUGGAUUUCUGUCCGUGUACACGUCCGCGGACAAACAAUCCAAGCACAAUAACACCAGAGUCCAAGAUCAGGUCCGCGAGGAGGUGCGGAGACUAUUGCAGGUGCACAAGGACGAGGAGGUCAGCAUCACCGUGACGGGUCACAGCCUAGGCGCGUCGCUUGCAACCCUCAACGCCGUCGACAUGGUGGCUCACGGCAUCAAUGUACCUCCUGCCUACUCCAAGCAGUCAUCGUGCCCUGUGACGGCGAUCCUAUUCGCAAGCCCACGCGUUGGGAAUGGCGGAUUCAAGGCUGCAAUCGCCUCAUUCCCCGAUCUCCGCGCCCUAAGUGUGAGGAACGAAUUUGACCCUGUGCCCUCAUUGCCAAUGAUUGGGUACGAGGAGGGCACGGCGACGGAGGUGUUGUGUAUCAACACGACCAAGUCACAAUGCCUACGCAAGUUCUCCGUCGACUUGUUCAGGUUUUGGAAGGACCACCACAACCUCGAGGUCUACCUGCACGGCAUUGCCGGGUAUCAAGGUGCUAGCAAGGAGUUCCGCCUGGUGGUCAAUCGCGACGUAGCACUUCUGAACAAGUGGGCUGACUUGCUGAAGGAUGAGCACUUGGCGCCAGCGAACUGGUGGGUCGCUCAAAACAAGUGCAUGGUCAGGGGUGUGGAUGGCCACUGGAAAUUCGAUGACUAUGAGGACGACCAAUUAAGUGGUUAG